UGGGGAAUAUUGGACAAUGGGCGCAAGCCUGAUCCAGCCAUGCCGCGUGAGUGAUGAAGGCCCUAGGGUUGUAAAGCUCUUUCACCGGUGAAGAUAAUGACGGUAACCGGAGAAGAAGCCCCGGCUAACUUCGUGCCAGCAGCCGCGGUAAUACGAAGGGGGCUAGCGUUGUUCGGAUUUACUGGGCGUAAAGCGCACGUAGGCGGACUAUUAAGUCAGGGGUGAAAUCCCGGGGCUCAACCCCGGAACUGCCUUUGAUACUGGUAGUCUUGAGUUCGAGAGAGGUGAGUGGAAUUCCGAGUGUAGAGGUGAAAUUCGUAGAUAUUCGGGGGAACACCAGUGGCGAAGGCGGCUCACUGGCUCGAUACUGACGCUGAGGUGCGAAAGCGUGGGGAGCAAACAGG
This 404-nucleotide ribosomal RNA is filed under the name Actinomycetes bacterium. RNAcentral's name for it is "Actinobacteria bacterium partial 16S ribosomal RNA". It matches the Rfam family "Bacterial small subunit ribosomal RNA", at positions 355 to 776 of the family's 1533-position model. The record is from RNAcentral. Lineage: Bacteria; Bacillati; Actinomycetota; Actinomycetes. RNAcentral also lists the same sequence under 1 other name.